This 211-nucleotide small nuclear RNA is filed under the name Brugia pahangi. Its description in RNAcentral is "U2 spliceosomal RNA". It matches the Rfam family "U2 spliceosomal RNA". Rfam says of the family: U2 is a small nuclear RNA (snRNA) component of the spliceosome (involved in pre-mRNA splicing). Complementary binding between U2 snRNA (in an area lying towards the 5' end but 3' to hairpin I) and the branchpoint sequence (BPS) of the intron results the bulging out of an unpaired adenosine, on the BPS, which initiates a nucleophilic attack at the intronic 5' splice site, thus starting the first of two transesterification reactions that mediate splicing. Lineage: Eukaryota; Metazoa; Nematoda; Chromadorea; Rhabditida; Onchocercidae. The record is from Rfam by way of RNAcentral.
AUAACUUUUUUGUUUAAUUAGAAAUACACUUAAGGAAAUAUAUAGAUCUGUUCGAAUUAAGCAUAUCGAUUCUUAUCAGUUUAAUCUCUGAUAUGUGAUCAACUGAUCAUUUCGAGAUUAUCCUGCUCAAAAGGAUUUGAAAGGGGCUUGUUCCUCACCUAUCACGGAUUGAUCCGGUAUUGCAUCUACCCAUGGGAACAGUCCAUUUACC